UGGGGAAUAUUGGACAAUGGGCGCAAGCCUGAUCCAGCAAUGCCGCGUGAGUGAUGAAGGCCUUAGGGUUGUAAAGCUCUUUUACCAGGGAUGAUAAUGACAGUACCUGGAGAAUAAGCUCCGGCUAACUCCGUGCCAGCAGCCGCGGUAAUACGGAGGGAGCUAGCGUUGUUCGGAAUUACUGGGCGUAAAGCGCGCGUAGGCGGUUUCUCAAGUCAGAGGUGAAAGCCCGGGGCUCAACCCCGGAACUGCCUUUGAAACUAGGAGACUAGAAUCUUGGAGAGGUCAGUGGAAUUCCGAGUGUAGAGGUGAAAUUCGUAGAUAUUCGGAAGAACACCAGUGGCGAAGGCGACUGACUGGACAAGUAUUGACGCUGAGGUGCGAAAGCGUGGGGAGCAAACA
This 402-nucleotide ribosomal RNA is filed under the name uncultured Novosphingobium sp. Its description in RNAcentral is "bacterial SSU rRNA". It matches the Rfam family "Bacterial small subunit ribosomal RNA", at positions 355 to 774 of the family's 1533-position model. Lineage: Bacteria; Pseudomonadati; Pseudomonadota; Alphaproteobacteria; Sphingomonadales; Sphingomonadaceae. The record is from RNAcentral.